RNAcentral lists this long non-coding RNA (375 nucleotides) under Brassica napus (rape). Its description in RNAcentral is "long non-coding RNA (BNAP_LNC023559)". Lineage: Eukaryota; Viridiplantae; Streptophyta; Magnoliopsida; Brassicales; Brassicaceae. The record is from RNAcentral.
CGAGUGUAUGAUGGACAGUGCUUACUUUGUUGGAAGAAACAAGAUUCUCGGUGGUUGGCUAUGAUGAAUAUUGGUUAUUUAAUGAAGGGACACAUGAGAAGAAGAAGAGACGAUUGAGCUAUGUCUCUCACUCUCUUUCAGAUUUUGUAUUGAUUGUGAUUUCAUACCCAGAUUUGUAUAAUCCAAAUUUUUUUCCAGAUCUGAGUGACAGAGAAGCUUGAACAAGAAGAGAAUGGAGGAGACGGAGAGAAGUGAUGGAUUCAACAGAGACGACACAGAGGAUUUCAAUGAAGCUUGGAGACAGGGAGGAGUUAUCACCGGAGUGGUGCAGCAAACCUGUAUUUUUGUGUUUUCUUUGUAAGAAACAUAACUCAG